CAGACCGGUACCGAACCGGCCAACAGCGCACAGUGUGCGCGCGGGGCAUUUAAAUGCCAUAAGUUUCGGUGCCGGUUCGCACUAGCCAAACAGGACAGAACCAGUCCGGUUCCGUCCGGUUCACUCUUGUACCGGCCGAUGCCGGUUGGUUCAGGCCGGUACGGGCUCCGUACCGCUUGGUUCCAGCCCCAUUUUUCACUGCAUAAUCAGACUAGUCAAAGACCGAACUGGCUGGUACAGGCCGGUUCAGCAUACCAUGCAUCCAGCACAUCUAGUUUCUUGUCACAUUUCCAUGGAAGAUCCGUCAAACUACCCCUAUCUCCAUCAUUGCUUUAGCUCUUUGCAGCAACCAUCGGCAAAUAACUCAUAUGAUUAACUUAUAGUAGGGUAGAAGCAUAAUGUUUACCAUUUGCUACAGAUUUUGUUGAUGAUGUAGUGCUUUUGACUAGAAAAUUAUGGUAUUAGCUGACCAUCUUGCACCAUAAUGCAGAGUAGUACAUGGUAAUAUAAACAAAGCAGAUAAAAUUCCCUUAUUAAAAAUAUUAAGCAAGAGAUACUAAUCUAGAAGAUUUUUCGAUUAAACACAACUAAAACUCCAAAUAUACAUUUAAGCAAGGUUGGCCAAACCGGACUGAACCGUCCGGUUCAGCCCAUACGGAGCCGACUCGGUUCCAUUAAAUUUGGUUCCGGAUCCAAACCGGCCGGAACGAGUUCUGAACCAGCCGGAACCAGCCGAAAAGGGUUGGAACUGGCCGGAACCGGCUAGUUCCUUUCGAAUUUGGUGGGAACCAUCCGAUUCGCACCGAGUCGAUCCAGUUCGAAGCUGGGCCCCCUCCCCCUUUGCUUCUUUUGUUAAAAGGUGUUGGAAAAUCCUUUCCAACAUCUUCUCCUCUGUUUACUUUAGACCUUCCUCCCAAUUUACAAAAUCAUACUGAUUCAGCACGAUUGAAGAAAGACCCAAGCCUAAAUAAGAUGUACUUCCUCUUCCCUAUCUCAUUUUCUCUAUUUUUUUGGGUUCGAAAAAUAGCUCAAAAUUUACAAAAUAAGAAAAAAUCAUGUCAAAAAUUUCCAAUUUAGGCUUGAUAUUACGAUAUGUUGUAGAUCUAUGGAUGAGUUACACGAUGACAUAAAAAAUUUAUUUUUUAUUAUAU
This 1151-nucleotide long non-coding RNA is filed under the name Phoenix dactylifera (date palm). RNAcentral's name for it is "long non-coding RNA (PDAC_LNC010711)". Lineage: Eukaryota; Viridiplantae; Streptophyta; Magnoliopsida; Arecales; Arecaceae. The record is from RNAcentral.